CACCACUCAUCCUCCAAGAUGACAAUGAGCACACUCCACCAACAAGUUCUUGCACUUCCAGCAGCCAAGACUGCUCCAUCAGGUUACUUUCCUGAUCCAGCUUCCAUCAACAAGCUCCAAAUCCCAACAUUUUCCAAAAAAUCUGAACAAAUCAAGAAAAAAUGUCUUCUGAGAAAGAAGAAAACCGAGAGCUUCACAAACGGAGCUAGAGAUCAAAACAAGUUAGGCCCCAAACUGACCGAAACAGUCAAGAGAAAGAUAUCUUUGGGAGCUAAGAUCCUUCAAAUGGGAGGCUUAGAGAAGAUUUAUAAACGGCUCUUCAGAGUCCACGAUGAAGAGAAACUCUUCAAAGCUUACCAGUGUUACCUAUCCACAACCGCAGGUCCCAUUGGAGGCUUACUCUUCAUCUCAUCAAAGAAGAUUGCUUUCUGCAGCGAGAGAUCUAUCAAAGUGGCUUCUCCUCAGGGAGAUCUAACUAGGGUUCACUACAAAGUGUCAAUCCCAUUGUCCAAGAUCAAUGGAGUGAACCAGAGUGUAGACACGAAGAAGCCAUCUCAGAAGUACCUUGAAGUAGUCACUGUGGAUGGCUUUGAGUUCUGGUUCAUGGGUUUCUUGAGUAACAAGAAAGCUUUCAACUGUCUUGAGCAAGCACUUUCUGUGAACUUGGAGCAAUAACAAGGAGAUAGGCUAGAAAAGUUAGACAAUAUUGUACAAACUAUUUUUUUUUUAGCUUUAACCUUUGGUUAUAUCCAUUGUUGACAAGAGCAAGAGAUUGAAUAUAUUUAGCUGAUCUCAUCUGUUUUCCUUAUUUCACAGCUCUAUAAUGAAAUGACUAUAUAAGACCAUAUCACAAUCUUGACCCUCCAAGCAUUUUAGAAGCUUUUGAGAUACACAGGAUCAUCAAUCUUCCCCCUAAGCAGUGCCGUGCGAAGGGUUUUAGGGGCCUAAGGCAAGUUUUAAAAAUAAAUUUAUAUACAACUAUAAAAAAAAAAAAAUUUCUAAUACGAUAUAUCACCUUCGCAAAAUACAUAAGUUUAACACUUACAAGAAUAAGUUUAUUACGUAAAUAUGCUACGUUAUGUCCUAUAAUAAAAAAAUAUAUGGAUUUAGAAAUUGAGUUAUUCGAUUCUCGUGGAAAGUUUUUUUUAGAAAUAAAUUUAAGCUACUAAACUAGAAAUUAUUUUAAAUUUUGGGGCCCUAAAAACCGUAAUAUUAUUUGGGGGCCUAAGGCGAAUGUCUUUUUCAAUACACUGUAGGCACGCCUCUGCCCCUAAGACUAAAACCAACAAUGAGGCUUAAGAAACGAGGAAGCUAUUUCCAUUUUAACAAAAAGCAAAUCAAAGAGGAUGCAUUGAUCAUAACAAAAGCUUUAGGAUAACACACACUUUGCUUCAUUGUAUUACAUAGAGAAUCAGAGUCUUCAAAUAUCUAGUGCUGAACAAAACCUAUGUGGAAAUGACAAUGCACAAGAGAUAGUCCAUUGCAAGGACAACCUAUUUACAUGCAGAGAAAAGCCGCGAAUCCUCCGAUGACCAAAUAUUUCUUGUAGGCUAUGGCAAAUCGUUUCUCACGUCACAUUUACCUUUUAUUUUUUUAUAGACAUUUUGUUAAUGUUCAAUUCGAUCACGCACACGUCUGAAAAUAUUAACGAUUCAGGAUAGACUAUUUUAUUACACAUUUGAGUGUGACCAGUCUUCUUUUUUCGCUCCCUUUUAUUUAUUUUUAACUUUUCUUUGACCAAUCGACCAUUUCCUAAUCCCCACUGAGUAAUAUUUUUUUACUCAUAAUUACGUGCCGACAUCCAUGCUGAAUCGGUCGUAUAUUUAGUCAAAAUAUCUUAUCCGAAAAAGGAUAUAGACCCCGAAGAUGAUGAACGCCACUAUAAAGCUUCAAAUUGAAUGGGCUGUGACGGUACAUAUAAUAUGGUUUUAUAUAUAGUCAAAGAAAUUCCAUGAUCUCUACAGGAUAAAUGGGUGGUGCAAAAAAAAUCUGAUUGAGAAAUCAUAUAAAAUAUGAAUUUUUCAACUAUUUGUUAGAACAUCAGAGUAGGAUGUUACCACGAGGUAAUACUCAAUCCAUUUCAAAAUAAUAUAUGUUUUAUUAAUAAAAUAUAUAAACCAUUAGUUAUUAAUGCAGUUUUUUUUAUAAUUUUAUAUUUUUUUAUAUUUCUAAACCAAUAAAACUUAAAAAUAUAUAAUUAAUAUUUUUAAAAUUCUCAAUUUUUUUAUUAUUAAUUGACAAAAAAAUAUAUUGUAAAUACAAAAAAUAUCUUUUUGAAACAAUUUUUUUUUAAACAGAAAGAAUAUUAUUUAAACCAAUCAUAGCUACAUUGAUUGGAUAUCGUUUACUCAAAAAUCAUAAUUAACAUAUACAACAUUUUAAAUUGAAUAUAAUUCGGUGCACAAAAAAAUGAAUACUCGUAUAAUUCAGGGUUUCGUAGAAACAACCUACUUCAAAUUAAAUUACAUCUAUGCUUCUUAAAUGUCAUUGUGACAUAUUUUCUUUCUUCGAAUUUAGUCUUAAUAACAACUGCCGAAUCAUUCAUGUCUUAACAACUAACUAAUCAUUCACUUUUGACGCUUUUCGAAAUACAUGUACCUAUUUAUGAUCAACUAGCUUAAUACACUAAAUUUUAUGUCAUUAUAAUAAAUUAUAAAUUUAUAUUCAUUAACUAUAUAUGUAUAUACACAACCAUAUGAAUAUCACGCGGGUGACGAAUUGAUGAAGUAGCAUGUAUACUAUAUGGUGGUAUCCAAUUCAAAUGGAUCUUCUUUUUGUGUGUUUAUUUAAGUAUUCUUUUGCUUAUCUAUUCACAGAUCUAUCUAAACCGAUCUUUCUUAUCGUAGCAUGACAAUAAAGAUAUAAAGGCAUCAGAACAGAAAGUCGCAAUGCCAACGCAGAAAGGUCCAAAGCCACGACGGCCGCUUCUGCAUGGCUCAAUUUGCUCUCACCUAUUCAAAAAGUGUUACGUAAUAUUUGAUUUUUAAUGUUCCAGUUAAUUAGGAAACAUAUCUUAUCUCCUCUACAUAUGUAGAUAUAUGUGGAAAAAAUAAAAUCAGGCUGAAAAAAGGAGAAAAGAAAAGUAAAAAAAGUUUGCUAUUUUGCCAACUUGUGGUAAAAAAGCUUAUCGGAGACUAACGUCAUUGCAUGGAUCAUCUUUCCUUCUUUAACUUUUUUUUUCUUUUUUCACCUUUUCGACAUUCUAAUAUCAUAUGGAUAAUCAAUUUACAUGGCAAGUUUCAAUAUGUUAACUAGAAACUUAUACCUGAUUUAUGAAUGCAAUGUUCAAAAAAAAAAAACUUAUAAAUGUCUCGAGACAUUUGAAGGUAAUCCAUGAAAUUGCAUUUAUAAUUAAGUUCUGUUAUUUGGAAAAAAAAAAAAAAAACCUAAAACAUUUCAUAAGUUCUUGAGAUUACUUUACCACUUGUAGGCCUUAGAUAGAUUUAGAAGCUGCAAAACCUAUGUCUCCUUUAACUAUAUAAUUAAUUUAUUUCAGAAAACAAUAAAGAAAAAAUAGAGGAUAUGCUUGAUCUUUUCAUUGCCUUUACCCCCAAGAAAGUGGCUUUAUGUGUGUCUUGAUGACCCAUCCAUGACUCAUCCAUUACCACAAAGGUCAAGUCUCAACGAUUCAGAGUAUGUUUUAACCGUCUCUUCUCUCUUUGUCUUUCCCUUUAAAUAACCUUCCCAUUACACGGUUUCAUCAUCACCAUCACUCAUAAUCCCUCUCUUUCUCAAGAUCAAGAUUCAAGAUUCAAGAUCAAGAUCACCACUCAAUCCUCCAAGAUGACAAUGAGCACAGUCCACCAACAAGUUCUUGCACUUCCAGCAGCCAAGACUGCUCCAUCAGGUUACUUGUCUGACCUAGCUUCCAUCAACAACCUCCAAAUCCCAACCUCUUCCAAGAAAUCUGAACAAAUCAAGAAAAAAUAUAUUCUGAAAAAGAAGAAAACCGAUAGCUUCACAAACGGAGAUAGAGAUCAAAACAAGUUAGGUCCCAAGCUGACUGAAACAGUCAAGAGAAAGCUAUCAUUGGGAGCUAAGAUCAUUCAAAUGGGAGGCUUAGAGAAGAUUUAUAAACGUCUUUUCAGAGUCCACGAAGAAGAGAAACUCUUCAAGGCGUACCAAUGUUACCUAUCCACAACCGCAGGUCCCAUAGCAGGCUUACUCUUCAUCUCAUCAAAGAAGAUUGCUUUCUGCAGCGAGAGAUCUAUCAAAGUGGCUUCUCCUCAGGGAGAUCUAACCAGGGUUCACUACAAAGUGUCAAUACCAUUGUGCAAGAUCAAUGGAGUGAACCAGAGUGUGGACACGAAGAAGCCAUCUCAGAAGUACCUAGAAGUAGUCACUGCGGAUGGCUUUGAGUUCUGGUUCAUGGGUUUCUUGAGCUACAAGAAAGCUUUCAUCUGUCUCGAGCAAGCGCUUUCUCUGAGCAUGGAGCUAUAACAAGGCUAUGGCUGAAGAGGAAACAUUUCAUUUUUAAUGAGGAGAUAGCCUAGAAAAGUUAGACAAUAUUGUACAAACUAAAUUUUUUUAUAGCUUUAACCCUUUGGUUAUCCAUUGUUGACAAGAGCAAGAGACUGAAUAUAUUUAGCUUCUCUCAUAUAUUUUCCUUAUGUCAUAGUUUUCUUUUGCACCAUAACGUGACCAAAGAAAAUAUAAUGACAUGAGUAUGACCAUAUCAUAAUCUUGACCUCCAAGCAUUUAGAAACUUUUGAGAUUUACAGGAUCAUCAAUCUUCCUCCUAAGACAAAUAAAGCCAACAAUGAUCGAGGCUUAAGAAACCAGGAGGAUUCUUCCAUUUUAACAAAAAUCAAAUCAAUCAUAACAAAAGCUUUAGGAUAACACACACUUUGCUCCAUUGUAUUACAUGGAGAAUCAGAGUCUUCAAGUACCUAGUGCCUGAACAAAAUUAAUAUAUGUGGAAAUGACAAUGCACAGGAGAGAGUGCAUCAGCAUAGCAAAGCCACCCAAUCUACAUGCAAAGAAAAGCAGGGAACCCUCCGAUGACCAAAUAUUUCUUUUAGGUUAAGGCAAAUCGUCACUCACAUUUACCUUUUAAAAACUUUUUAUACAUUUUGUUAAUGUUAAAUUCGAUCAUACACACGUCAGAAAAUAGCAACGAUUACAGGAUAAACUAUUUAAUUACAUAUUUGAAUGUGACCCGUCUUUUUUUUUGCGCUCCCCUUUAUUUAUUUGUAACUUUUCUUUGACCAAUCGACCAUUUCCCUAAUCCCCACCGAAGUAUAUUUUUUACUCAUAAGUACGCGUCGACAUACAUAUUGAAUUGCUCGUAUAUUAUAAGUCAAAAUAUCUUAUCCGACUAAGGACAUGGACCCCGAAGAUAAAGCUUCAAAUUGAAUGGGUUAAUUGUGACUUGUGACGGUACAAAUAAUAUGAUUAUAUAUAUAUAUAUAUAUAUAUAUAUAUAGUAAAAAAAUUCUAUGAUCUCUAUGAUGCAGAAAAUUUCCGACUGAUAAAUUAUACAAAAUGCGUAGUUUUCAACUAUUUGUUAGACCAUUGGAGUGGGAUGUUACCAUAAGUAUUAUUAUUGUAACCAAUCAUAACUACAUUUCAUAUCCUUUACCCAAAUAACCAUACUUACAUAUACAACAUUUUAAAUUGGUAGAAACUACCUACUUCAAGUAUGUCGUUGUGACAUAUAUCCUUUCUUUGAAUUUAGUCGUAAUAACAGCUACUAAAUCAUUCAUGUCACUAACGAAUCAUCCACGUUUGAUUCUUUUCGAUAUACAUGUACCGAUAUGAUCAAAAAUAGCUUAAUACAAUGUCCACUAUAUUUUAUCAUGCAUAAUAAAUCAAAUAUAUAUAUUCAUUAGCUUAUAUGUGUAUACACAACCAUGUGAAUAUCACAUGGCUGACGAAUUGAUGAAUAACAUGUAUACUAUUUGGCAUUGGCGGGAUCCAAUUCAAAUGGAUCUCCUUUGUGUGUGUGUUUAUAUAACUAAUUUCUUGCUCUUUAUAUAUUAAAUAAAUGUUUUGAUAAAAAAAAAUAUUAAAUAAAUGAAUUAUAACCGAUAUUUCUUAUCGUACAGACAAUGACAUCAGAAAGUCGCGAUGCCAGCGCAGAAAGCUCCAAAGCCACAACGUCCUCUUCUGCAUGGCUCAAUUUUCACUCACAUAUUCAGAAAGUGUUACUUAAUAUUUGAUUUUACUGUUCCAAUUAAUUAGGAUACAUAUCUUAUAUCCUCUGUACAUAUAUAUAUAUGCGAAAAAUAAAAUCAUGCUAGAAAAUGAGAAAAGAAAAGUAAUUGGAACAUUAAAAACCAAAUAUUACGUAACACUCAUAUAUAUAUGCGAAAAUAAAAUCAAUCUAGAAAAAUAAGAAAAGAAAAGUAAAGAAGUUUGCUAUUUUGCCAACUUGUAGUUAAAAAAGCUUAUCGGAUAAUUAACGUCAUUGCAUGGAUCAUCUUUCCUUCUUUGACAUGUUUUUCUUUUUCACCUUUUCGACAUUAAUAUACAUGGAUCAUCAAUUUGCAUGGCAUCUUCUAAGUUUCAAUAUACUACUAACUAGAAAUCAAAGGUUGCGUGAUAUUUGAAGAGGAUCCUUGAAAUUGCAUUUCUAAAUUGUUCUGUUAUUUGGAAAAACAAAAACGAAAACUUAAAACAUUUCAUCAGUUCUUGAGAUUUUUUUACCAAUUGUGUCCUUGCAGUGCCGUCCCGUAUAUUUGUGUGGCUUAAAGCAUUUGAAAAAAAUGUGGCCUUUACAAAAAAAAUGUUUGGUUCAAAGAUUAAUGUUAAGUUAAUUAGAAUUUUGUUUCCAAAGUAAAAACAAAAAGAAGGUUUUUUCAUAAAAACGAAAAACAGUAAAAUGAAUAUCAAGAUAGGGAAUCAAACUGAGGUUGAGAGAAAUAAAUAUUUUCACCUAACCAUUUUAACUACAUCAAUUUGUAUGGAUGUGACCAGAUUAGUUUUUAAAAUAUGUGGCCUAAAGCCAAUGCUUUACGUGCCUUAGUGAAGGGACGGCCCUGUGUCCUUGCAUGGAUUGAGUAGCUGCAAAAACCUUUAUUUUUUUGUUUCUCCUUUAACUAUAUUUUUUUUUCUCGAAAAAUUAAAGAAAAAAUAGAGGAUAUGCAUGAUCUUCUCAUUGCCUUUACCCCCAAGAAAGUGGCUUUAUGUGUGUCUUGAUGACCCAUCCAUGACUCAUCCAUUACCACAAAGAUCCUCAAGUCUCAACUGCCUCUUGUCUCUUUGUCUUUCCUUUUAAAUAACCUUCCCACCACACAGUUUCAUCAUCACCUAUCACUCAUAAUCUCUCUCUCUCUCUCUCAAGAUCAAGAUCAAGAUCAAGAUCACCACUCAAUCCUCCAGAUGACAAUGAGCACACUCAACCAACAAGUUCUCGCACUUCCAGAAGCCAAGACUGCUCCAUCAGGUUACUUUUCUGACCUAGCUUCCAUCAACAACCUCCAAAUCCCAACAUCUUCCAAGAACUCUGAACAAAUCAAGAAAAAAACUAUUCUGAGAAAGAAGAAAACCGAGAGCUUCACAAACGAUAAUAGAGAUCAAAACAAGUUAGGGCCCAAUCUGACAGAAACAGUCAAGAGAAAGCUAUCAUUGGGAGCUAAGAUCAUUCAAAUGGGAAGCUUAGAGAAGAUUUAUAAACGGCUCUUUAGAGUCCACGAUGAAGAGAAACUCUUCAAGGCUUACCAGUGUUACCUAUCCACAACCGCAGGUCCCAUAGCAGGCUUACUCUUCAUCUCAUCAAAGAAGAUUGCUUUCUGCAGCGAGAGAUCUAUCAAAGUGGCUUCUCCUCAGGGAGAUAACGUCAGGGUUCACUACAAAGUGUCAAUACCACUGUGCAAGAUCAAUGGAUUGAACCAGAGUGUGAACACGAAGAAGCCCUCUCAGAAAUACCUAGAAGUAGUCACUGCGGAUGGCUUUGAGUUCUGGUUUAUGGGUUUCUUGAGCAACAAGAAAGCUUACAACUGUCUCGAGCAAGCGCUUUGUCUGAGCAUGGAGCAAUAACAAGCCCAAGGCUGAAGAGGAAAUAUUUAAUUUCUAAU
This 8018-nucleotide long non-coding RNA is filed under the name Brassica rapa (field mustard). RNAcentral describes it as "long non-coding RNA (BRAP_LNC001616)". Lineage: Eukaryota; Viridiplantae; Streptophyta; Magnoliopsida; Brassicales; Brassicaceae. The record is from RNAcentral.